AACCAACAAUCAAUCAUUUGAAUGUGUCUGUUUUUAAAUUUACCAAUUAUUACGAAACAAACGUUUCAAGCCAGUCUGUUUGGUCACAUAACUCUUCGAAUGCUUCGGUUAUUGGCUUUCAAAUAUUCGGUUUCUAUCUUGUUCCAGAUGAAGUUAAAUCCAUAAAAGCGCUUGAAAUUAUAAAGUGUUGGUUUCUUUUUUUUUAUAUUGAAUUGAAAUGUUUUAAUUUGCAAUUUAUUUAUUUUAUUUUUAGGGAGGAGUCUCUUUUCAAUUUAGUAGAAUAAUUGGGUUCAUAUUGAACUUUUUGGGUUUUUUUUCUCUCUUUGUUUCCUUGUUUUCUUGCUCCUACAUGUGUGUGCUUCGUCACUGACUUAUGUUUCAAUCUUAAAAGAUCAUUCUCUAUAUAAAAAAGGUAUCAUUGAAUGAAAUUGAAGAGAUUACGAGCCCUGUACUUGAUAUAAAGACCUUUUUAAAAGGACCUAUUUCUUAGAUAUUGUUAUAUUGCAAAGUUAUUGUAAAAUUGUUUUCAGAACACAAAGUUAUCAUUCAAUUCAAAUU
This 558-nucleotide long non-coding RNA is filed under the name Mytilus galloprovincialis (Mediterranean mussel). The record is from RNAcentral. Lineage: Eukaryota; Metazoa; Mollusca; Bivalvia; Mytilida; Mytilidae.